CCCUCUAGCUCAGUUGGUAGAGCAUGGUGUUUGCCACCCUUUAGGGUUGUGGGUUCGAUUCCCACGGGGG
RNAcentral lists this transfer RNA (70 nucleotides) under Salmo salar (Atlantic salmon). It matches the Rfam family "tRNA". From Rfam's summary of the family: Transfer RNA (tRNA) molecules are approximately 80 nucleotides in length. Their secondary structure includes four short double-helical elements and three loops (D, anti-codon, and T loops). Lineage: Eukaryota; Metazoa; Chordata; Actinopteri; Salmoniformes; Salmonidae. The record is from Rfam by way of RNAcentral.